Molecule: non-coding RNA, 1131 nt
Organism: Toxotes jaculatrix (banded archerfish)
Lineage: Eukaryota; Metazoa; Chordata; Actinopteri; Toxotidae
Source: the annotation of a RefSeq genome assembly
UCUUUUGCUUUUGUCCUGCUCAGAGAUGAUGAUCAUACUGCUCAUACAUGCGGCUGCUCUGCAGCUCUGUUCAGCAGAGCUCUCAACAAAAAGCAUCCAUCAGGAUCCUCCUGACCUGAUCGAAGACCCUGGAAAAGAAAUCAAGAUUAACUGCCGCCACUCUGACAGUGAUUUUAAUAUGAUCCAGUGGUACAAACAGUCUGCUGGGAGUGCAGAAAUGACUCUCAUUGGGUAUGCGAGGUAUACCGUUUUGGCUGUUGAACAUCCAUUCAAGGAAUUUUAUAACGUGAGCGGUGAUGGGAAAAGUCUGUCAUCUCUCCAUUUUGUGGCGCUGAACAAAGCCAAUAACAGCGCGGUGUAUUUCUGUGCCGCCAGCGAUUAUGAAGCCUAUUUCGGGCCGGGCACAAAAGUGACUGUUCUUGAACCAAACUGUCCUAUCACCAGGCCAAGAGUGACAGUGCUCACGCCUUCAGAAAAAGAGUGUGAAAAUGAAAAGGAAAAGACAAAGAAGAAGACCUUGGUGUGUGUGGCCUCUGGUUUCUACCCGGACCAUGUGAGCGUGUCCUGGCAGAUCAACAGGGAAGAUGUGAAAAAAGGGGUGGCCACCGACAGUGCUGCCCUGCGGGAUGGGAAAUAUUAUCGCCUCACCAGCAGGCUGAGGGUCCCGCUCCAUCAGUGGCACGUGCCGGACACGAAUUUCACCUGCACCGUCAGCUUCUUCGAUGGAAACACGACUGUGUACACGUCAAACUGGACCACAGGCAUUUUAAAACCUCGAGUUGUAAGAGGCAAAUACAUGAGGACCACUCACAGUGCCAAACUGUGCUACAGCACUUUGAUCGUCAAGAGCAGCAUCUAUGGAGUCUUUGUGGUGUUUUUGAUGUGGAGGCUUCAGGCUCCACCUGGAAAACAGAACAACGCAGAGCUGAGCUGAACGGCUGGGUGGGUUCUCUGGGUUCAAUCAGCUGAUCACAUUCUGCACAACUUAGAGCAACUGGCGCGACUCAAAAGCAUUUGCAUGGUUUUAUAAUCCAAAGCUGGUUAAUAUUUUAUGAUACUUUCUGUUUGUGUAAGUGCUUGUGAACUGCUUUAAGCUGAAUUUUCUGCUCAAUAAACCCAUUUCAGAAGCGA